UACGAAGGGGGCUAGCGUUGCUCGGAAUUACUGGGCGUAAAGCGCACGUAGGCGGCUACACAAGUCAGAGGUGAAAGCCCGGGGCUCAACCCCGGAACUGCCUUUGAAACUAGGUGGCUAGAAUCUUGGAGAGGUCAGUGGAAUUCCGAGUGUAGAGGUGAAAUUCGUAGAUAUUCGGAAGAACACCAGUGGCGAAGGCGACUGACUGGACAAGUAUUGACGCUGAGGUGCGAAAGCGUGGGGAGCAAACAGG
This 253-nucleotide ribosomal RNA is filed under the name uncultured Novosphingobium sp. RNAcentral's name for it is "partial 16S ribosomal RNA". It matches the Rfam family "Bacterial small subunit ribosomal RNA", at positions 524 to 776 of the family's 1533-position model. The record is from RNAcentral. Lineage: Bacteria; Pseudomonadati; Pseudomonadota; Alphaproteobacteria; Sphingomonadales; Sphingomonadaceae.